ACUAAAAUUAGAAUGAUACAGAGAUUAGCAUGGCCCCUGUACAAGGAUGACACAAAUUCAUGAAGCAUUCCAUAUUUUU
Molecule: small nuclear RNA, 79 nt
Filed under: Sus scrofa (pig)
Lineage: Eukaryota; Metazoa; Chordata; Mammalia; Artiodactyla; Suidae
Source: RNAcentral